RNAcentral lists this long non-coding RNA (616 nucleotides) under Bos taurus (domestic cattle). RNAcentral describes it as "long non-coding RNA NONBTAT026121". Lineage: Eukaryota; Metazoa; Chordata; Mammalia; Artiodactyla; Bovidae. The record is from RNAcentral.
AAAAUGACAAAAAAUAGUUUAUUUCUUUGAUACAGAAUAUACAAUAUUGCACUCAUGUUGCAAGUAGUGUGUAAAAAGAGAACUCUAUUUAGACUGCCAUAACAAUUGUCUGGGCCUGCUAUUUCAUGGCGUCACCAACAAUAACUAUAGCACUGCCCUUUAACCCACUGAAAAGGGCAACGCUUGAUAAAGCCUGCUUUUUAUUCCAGCGUCAGUGACCAGCAGUUUAAAAACUAUAUGCAUAAUGAGGAAACUUCAGUUAUAUAACUACCUUUCAGUCACAUAACUACCUUUAAGUCUGAGGCACUGGUAAUCUGUAUCCAUAUAUUAAAGAACUAGAUACUGUCAAGCUAUUUUCCAGGUUUUAUCAAUUAUUUUUCAAUAACUUUUCCUUUCCAUUGUACUUAAUCAUAUUACCUAAUAUGCUAUUCUUUCCUGAACAAAUGAAAGUAUUUUGCAGCAAUAACUAUUGUUCAUCCUUGUGAAACCCAUUAUAAACUUUUUUAUUCAGACUGAGCUACAAAGUCUGAUUUUCUCAGAGUCACUCAGCAAUUUGGGUUAAUUCAGAGUUAGGAAAGGAUUUCCCGCCACCAGCCACACACUCAGCCCCUGAGCU